GUCAUUGAUGAGCUAUUGGAUGAAUUAGCUGGGGCUUGUUGGUUUUCCAAACUAGAUCUUAGAGCAGGCUACCAUCAGAUCAGGCUGGCCCCAGGGGAAGAGCAUAAAACAUCAUUUCAGACUCAUUUGGGGCAUUUUGAGUUUCUGGUGUUAUCUUUUGGCCUUACUGGGGGACCAAAUAUACUCAACUUUCCUUUGAAUGAUACCUUGUCACCAUGUAUCAGGAAGUUUGUGUUGCUUUUCUUUGAUGGUAUCCUAGUGUUCAGUACUUCUUAUGCACUACAGUUACAGCACCUGGAAGAAGUAUUGAAAUUGUUAUUGCAGCAUCAGUGGCAAGUGAAGCUCUCAAAGUGUGCUUUUGCACAA
Molecule: ribosomal RNA, 366 nt
Filed under: Triticum aestivum (bread wheat)
Lineage: Eukaryota; Viridiplantae; Streptophyta; Magnoliopsida; Poales; Poaceae
Description: partial small subunit ribosomal RNA
Source: RNAcentral